This 253-nucleotide ribosomal RNA is filed under the name uncultured bacterium. Its description in RNAcentral is "partial 16S ribosomal RNA". It matches the Rfam family "Bacterial small subunit ribosomal RNA", at positions 524 to 776 of the family's 1533-position model. The record is from RNAcentral.
UACAGAGGUCUCAAGCGUUGUUCGGAUUCAUUGGGCGUAAAGGGUGCGUAGGUGGCGCCAUAAGUCAGGUGUGAAAUCUCGGGGCUCAACCCCGAAACUGCACUUGAUACUGUGGUGCUCGAGUACUGGAGAGGAGAUUGGAAUUUACGGUGUAGCAGUGAAAUGCGUAGAUAUCGUAAGGAAGACCAGUGGCGAAGGCGAAUCUCUGGACAGUUACUGACACUGAGGUACGAAGGCCAGGGGAGCAAACAGG